RNAcentral lists this small RNA (668 nucleotides) under Pongo abelii (Sumatran orangutan). RNAcentral's name for it is "retained intron". The record is from RNAcentral. Lineage: Eukaryota; Metazoa; Chordata; Mammalia; Primates; Hominidae.
UUUUCCCUUUGAAGUCAGGGAUCCCCUGUUUUAUACCCUAUGAUUAUUGUUAAUGUUUCUGUUUCUCUCAGUUUUAAGACAAUUAUCUCCUAUAUUGAUGAGCAAUUUGAGAGGUACCUGCAUGACGAGAGCGGCUUGAACAGGAGGCACAUCAUUGAUAAUAGGGUGCAUUGUUGCUUUUACUUUAUUUCACCUUUUGGACAUGGGUAAGUAAUUGUUUACCGUGGAGAAAUGCUUUACUACAUGGGUUUGUAAGUUUUACCCAAACUGUGUAUUUUAAUAUAAGAAUUAAGAUAAUUUGAGAGAGAAGAGUUUUGUAUGUAUUUUUUUUAAAUAAGUGACACUUCUAAAAUUAAUUUUAGACUUAAGCCCUUAGAUGUGGCGUUUAUGAAGGCAAUACACAACAAGGUGAAUAUUGUGCCUGUCAUUGCAAAAGCUGACACUCUCACUCUGAAGGAACGGGAGCGGCUGAAGAAAAGGAUUCUGGAUGAAAUUGAAGAACAUAACAUCAAAAUCUAUCACUUACCUGAUGCAGAAUCAGAUGAAGAUGAAGAUUUUAAAGAGCAGACUAGACUUCUCAAGGCUAGCAUCCCGUUCUCUGUGGUUGGAUCCAAUCAGUUGAUUGAAGCCAAAGGAAAGAAGGUCAGAGGCCGCCUCUACCCCUGGGG